Molecule: long non-coding RNA, 1578 nt
Organism: Ruditapes philippinarum (Manila clam)
Lineage: Eukaryota; Metazoa; Mollusca; Bivalvia; Venerida; Veneridae
Exons: 3
Source: RefSeq, a predicted model, not a curated record
CUUAGAUAUCAUUAAAACAAUCUUCCUGACUAAUUUCCAAAAUAUUUGGAUGAUAACUGCCGCCUCUAGAGUGUUAACAAGCUUUUUCUCUUUUUAGCUCCUUUGACCUAGUUUUUGACCCGAGGUAACCCAUCUUCGAACUCGAUCUGUAUUUCAUUGAGACAAACAUUCUGACAAAGUUUGAUGAUGAUUCAAUCAAAACUGUGACUGCUAGACUGUUAACAACCCAAUUGUUGACGACGCACGACGACGGACUCCGGACACAGCCCCAUCACUAUACCUCACCUUGACCACUUCGUGGUCAGGUGAGCUUAAACUCUAGAUUUGGAAAUAAUAUUGCGCUUUCCGUUAAUGCUUUAAAUAUAAAUUUCUUUUUAUAUAAUUAUUUACUUGUUCUCUAUUUAUUAUAUUGAUUAAAACCCCGUUUAUAAAAUAACGCUGAUCAGGGGAAGUUUUUGAUGCGGAUACUUUGGUGUCAAUGAUUAUCGUUCUUGCAAAUGGUGGCGCUGUUUUGAAAUUUGAACAGAUACAGAAGUCGAUGAUUAAUUUUGAUUUCUAAGGUAUUACCGUAGUGUUUUACUUUAGUUUGCAGAUUCUUUUUCAAUAUGUAGUUACUUAUUCUUAAAAGUCUACUUUGAUUUACACUAUGAAAGAAAUGAGCGAUGUAAACACAUGAUUGAUUUGAUUUGACACGUUUUCGCGACCUAAUUGGUAGGCCUUACGCUUACGCAAAGUUAUUGAUGCCGAAGUUACAAUUCGUGAAUUUAUAGGUAGUAAUAAAUCUAUUUUACAUUCCAGAUCCUGAUCCUGGCUGGAAUUGAGAAUUUUGGAGCUGUAGCCUGUUUACCAUGCAUUCAACACGGAAAGAGCUGUCAGCUAGGAUGCUGCAUAAAAUGGUCUUAGCUGGAGCCUAAAAUAUUUAUUGGAAAAAUGCAGCUAAUGCUGCCCGUAACUGAUUGGGAGCAGAUUUGCUUACCAAUCAUAGAAACAGUAACAGACAGCCAAACAAGUAUUCAAAUGCCACCAUGAAACACGUAAUACAUACCCAGAAAGAUCUAGAUAAAGAAGUAGAUUUGAACAGAUUGUAGCUUAAUUGUUACAUCGUUUGAAUUUAAGAUGCGCUUGAACUGUAUUUUUGAAAUAAAAUAUCUUAAGUAUUUAAUAUUGUCUUGAUUUUUUUUUCAAACUCUGUUACUCUGCUUUAUAUCUUAGAAAUAAAAUAUGAUGGGUUUUUAACGUUGAAAUGACAUUGAAAUAUCAACGUUGUUUAAACUUUCAAAUCCGAAUAUAAAUCCAACGUUAUUUCAACGUUAAAAUCUGACCAUAAUUCAAUGUUGUUUCAACGUUGGUGUGCCUGCUGGGCUGUAUUUAUAGACAUUUCACUUCCAAAGACUUCUCUUUUAAUUUUAUUAACUGAAAGUAUUCCGCGAAAACACCAGUAAAAAUACGGAAACAAUUUUAAAUGCACUGAAAAUAGGAAGAUGGAAAUAUACAUUUUAUUUAAUCCAUAUUCUCAAUAUUUCGUUUAUAAGCAUAAAAUAAAACCCAAUAUCUCAUAAAAUAGUAUUCAAAUAAGAU